RNAcentral lists this transfer RNA (72 nucleotides) under Patescibacteria group bacterium. RNAcentral's name for it is "tRNA-Cys". It matches the Rfam family "tRNA". Rfam says of the family: Transfer RNA (tRNA) molecules are approximately 80 nucleotides in length. Their secondary structure includes four short double-helical elements and three loops (D, anti-codon, and T loops). The record is from RNAcentral.
GGCGCGGUGGUGAAGAGGUAACACGACGGUCUGCAAAACCGUAAUGCGAGGGUUCGAAUCCCUCCCGCGCCU